CCUACGGGAGGCAGCAGUGGGGAAUAUUGCACAAUGGGGGAAACCCUGAUGUAGCGACGCCGCGUGAGUGAAGAAGUAUUUCGGUACGUAAAGCUCUAUCAGCAGGGAAGAAAAUGACGGUACCUGACUAAGAAGCCCCGUCUAACUACGUGCCAGCAGCCGCGGUAAUACGUAGGGGGCAAGCGUUAUCCGGAUUUACUGGGUGUAAAGGGAGCGUAGACGGCAGCGCAAGUCUGGAGUGAAAUCCCAUGGCUUAACCAUGGAACUGCUUUGGAAACUGUGCAGCUAGAGUGCAGGAGAGGUAAGCGGAAGUCCUAGUGUAGCGGUGAAAUGCGUAGAUAUUAGGAGGAACACCAGUGGCGAAGGCGGCUUACUGGACUGUAACUGACGUUGAGGCUCGAAAGCGUGGGGAGCAAACAGGAUUAGAUACCCUAGUAGUC
This 440-nucleotide ribosomal RNA is filed under the name uncultured bacterium. Its description in RNAcentral is "partial 16S ribosomal RNA". It matches the Rfam family "Bacterial small subunit ribosomal RNA", at positions 338 to 795 of the family's 1533-position model. The record is from RNAcentral.